Molecule: ribosomal RNA, 254 nt
Filed under: uncultured bacterium
Lineage: Bacteria
Description: partial 16S ribosomal RNA
Rfam family: Bacterial small subunit ribosomal RNA
Source: RNAcentral
CACGUAGGGUGCGAGCGUUGUCCGGAAUUAUUGGGCGUAAAGAGCUCGUAGGCGGUGUGUCGCGUCGGCCGUGAAAACUUGCAGCUUAACUGUGGGCGUGCGGUCGAUACGGGCAUCACUGGAGUUCGGCAGGGGAGACUGGAAUUCCUGGUGUAGCGGUGAAAUGCGCAGAUAUCAGGAGGAACACCAAUAGCGAAGGCAGCUCGCUGGGACGUCACUGACGCUGAGGCGCGAAAGCGUGGGGAGCGAACAGG